UACAGAGGGGGCAAGCGUUAUUCGGAAUUAUUGGGCGUAAAGGGCGCGUAGGCGGGCUCCCAAGUCGGUGGUGAAAUCUUUCGGCCCAACCGGAAAAGUGCCGCCGAUACUGGGAGUCUCGAGGGAGGUAGGGGUCGAUGGAACUUCCGGUGGAGCGGUGAAAUACGUAGAUAUCUGGAGGAACACCGGUGGCGAAGGCGGCGACCUGGUCCUAUACUGACACUCAUACACGAAAGCGUGGGGAUCAAACAGG
RNAcentral lists this ribosomal RNA (253 nucleotides) under uncultured bacterium. RNAcentral's name for it is "partial 16S ribosomal RNA". It matches the Rfam family "Bacterial small subunit ribosomal RNA", at positions 524 to 776 of the family's 1533-position model. The record is from RNAcentral.